RNAcentral lists this ribosomal RNA (273 nucleotides) under Triticum aestivum (bread wheat). Its description in RNAcentral is "partial small subunit ribosomal RNA". The record is from RNAcentral. Lineage: Eukaryota; Viridiplantae; Streptophyta; Magnoliopsida; Poales; Poaceae.
AUGUUCAAGCUUGCUCUUGCUACACCGCUCGCUCUCGGAGCAGGAGGGCUACCUCAACUCCGCCGACCAGGCGUUCCUCCUUCCCCGUCAGCUCGAGGGACAGGGCACGGGGCGAGGGAGCGGGGCAUGGGGCGGCUCGACGUCGGGCUCCGGCUGCAGGAUGUCUCCUUGAGCUUUUCAUCGCCUCCUUCCCCGUCGACGCUCGCGCUCCUCCGCCGGGCUCGCGCCGAGGAGGUCGUCGACGCCGCGCGGGCAAGAUGCUCGACGAAAUGA